This 492-nucleotide ribosomal RNA is filed under the name uncultured bacterium. RNAcentral's name for it is "partial 16S ribosomal RNA". It matches the Rfam family "Bacterial small subunit ribosomal RNA", at positions 29 to 507 of the family's 1533-position model. The record is from RNAcentral.
AGUGAACGCUGGCGGUAGGCCUAACACAUGCAAGUCGAACGGCAGCACAGUAAGAGCUUGCUCUUACGGGUGGCGAGUGGCGGACGGGUGAGGAAUACAUCGGAAUCUACUUUUUCGUGGGGGAUAACGUAGGGAAACUUACGCUAAUACCGCAUACGACCUACGGGUGAAAGCAGGGGAUCUUCGGACCUUGCGCGAUUGAAUGAGCCGAUGUCGGAUUAGCUAGUUGGCGGGGUAAAGGCCCACCAAGGCGACGAUCCGUAGCUGGUCUGAGAGGAUGAUCAGCCACACUGGAACUGAGACACGGUCCAGACUCCUACGGGAGGCAGCAGUGGGGAAUAUUGGACAAUGGGCGCAAGCCUGAUCCAGCCAUACCGCGUGGGUGAAGAAGGCCUUCGGGUUGUAAAGCCCUUUUGUUGGGAAAGAAAAGCAGUAGGUUAAUACCCCGCUGUUCUGACGGUACCCAAAGAAUAAGCACCGGUUAACUUCGUG